Molecule: long non-coding RNA, 644 nt
Organism: Conger conger (European conger)
Lineage: Eukaryota; Metazoa; Chordata; Actinopteri; Anguilliformes; Congridae
Exons: 4
Source: RefSeq, a predicted model, not a curated record
CGGAAGUGCUGAGGUCACGUGUUUUGUGCAGGAUUGCGUAGUAUAAAAAUGACGUCACGUCUUCCCAUCGUCCUUUUUUUAUCUGUGCCGUGUGGUGGUUGAGGGAGUGUGGCAUUGCCUUUUGGGAAGGCAGCCAUGAUGUCCUGGAGUCUGGAUGUGUUGCAGAUGAAGGUGGGAGACGUGCAGAGGUUCCUCCCUGCCGGAACCCACGUGGGAGACUACACCUACAACUGUAAGAGGAAGGGUGACGGUUAGGAGGGGAUCUGGAUCGAGCGCUAUCCAAAUGAUGAGAUGGUCCUGAAGUUUCCUUCUGCCACUGGUGCCAUCACCUUUGCUGAUUGGUUCCUGACUGGUACCUUCACCAAUCAGAUCCAGGGUGCUGUCGGAGUCCCGCCUCUGGAUCCUCACUGACCUGCUGGGCUGACCUCCAGCCGCUGUCUGCGCCAUCCUACGUUAACAUUCCCAGUGUCUCCGCACUGAGAAAUGUGGAUCUCUCUCUCCCCUGCUACAGCCAGAGGCCUGAAGAGGACAACGAGCCGCAGGAUUGGUCAGCUGCUCCAGCUGCUCCAGCUGCGCAGGUGUUCGUCUGGGGCGACCUCGGUGCGGAGGAAAAUCAGUCAAUAAAAUGGUUGUUUAAUCAAAAA